This 27-nucleotide small RNA is filed under the name Bombyx mori (domestic silkworm). RNAcentral describes it as "ovarian small RNA-17590". The record is from RNAcentral. Lineage: Eukaryota; Metazoa; Arthropoda; Insecta; Lepidoptera; Bombycidae.
GGUUCUUGAGGGGCGACCGCGUACUGG